AAGUUUUGACUUCCAUAAGCUAAUUUUUUUAUAUACAAGUUUCAGCGUACAUAAUCUUCAAAACUACUCAUAAGUUAUUUGACAUAGGACCUAGGCUAAUCCUUGAUGUUACACCAGAAAAGUUUGAGAAAUUCUCAUUUGAUCCAUUGGACUUUGGGAUUCCUCGGUGUACCCUGGAUGACUUGCGAGGUGGAGGCCCAGAGUAUAAUGCCGAGGCACUAAAGGGUGUAUUGUCAGGGGAGAAAAGUUCAAUUGCAGAUGCAUUUAUCUUAAAUGCAGCAGCAGCGCUCUUGGUUGGGAUGGGGAGGCUAGCAACGCAAGGAGGGAUGGCGGGUUGGUUUCAUGUUCGGCGAAGCUGGGUUCAGCGAUGGGGUUUAGGCU
Humulus lupulus (European hop) is the source of this 381-nucleotide long non-coding RNA. RefSeq lists it as uncharacterized. NCBI's taxonomy places the organism in Eukaryota, Viridiplantae, Streptophyta, Magnoliopsida, Rosales, Cannabaceae. The record is from RefSeq and is a predicted model, not a curated record. The transcript is spliced from 3 exons.